This 346-nucleotide ribosomal RNA is filed under the name uncultured bacterium. RNAcentral's name for it is "partial 16S ribosomal RNA". It matches the Rfam family "Bacterial small subunit ribosomal RNA", at positions 338 to 698 of the family's 1533-position model. The record is from RNAcentral.
CCUACGGGUGGCUGCAGUGGGGAAUAUUGGGCAAUGGGCGCAAGCCUGACCCAGCAACGCCGCGUGAAGGAAGAUGGCCCUCGGGUUGUAAACUUCUUUUGUCAGGGACGAAGCAAGUGAAGGUACCUGACGAAUAAGCCACGGCUAAACUCGUGCCAGCCGCCGCGGGAAUACGGAGGUGGAAACGGUUAUCCGGAUUUACUGGUUGUAGGGGGCGUUUAGGCGGGAGAGCAAGUAAGAUGUGAAAUCCCAGGGCCCAAGCCUGGAACUGCAUUUGAAACUGUUUUGCUUGAGUGAGGGGGCGGCAGGAGGAAUUCCGGGUGUAGCGGUGAAAUGCGUAGAUAUA